RNAcentral lists this ribosomal RNA (1055 nucleotides) under fungal endophyte. RNAcentral describes it as "eukaryotic LSU rRNA". The stretch from base 470 to 1055 matches the Rfam family "Eukaryotic large subunit ribosomal RNA", at positions 1 to 598 of the family's 3401-position model. Lineage: Eukaryota; Fungi. The record is from RNAcentral.
CCCUUUGUGAACAUACCUAUAACUGUUGCUUCGGCGGGUAGGGUCUCCGUGACCCUCCCGGCCUCCCGCCCCCGGGCGGGUCGGCGCCCGCCGGAGGAUAACCAAACUCUGAUUUAACGACGUUUCUUCUGAGUGGUACAAGCAAAUAAUCAAAACUUUUAACAACGGAUCUCUUGGUUCUGGCAUCGAUGAAGAACGCAGCGAAAUGCGAUAAGUAAUGUGAAUUGCAGAAUUCAGUGAAUCAUCGAAUCUUUGAACGCACAUUGCGCCCGCCAGCAUUCUGGCGGGCAUGCCUGUUCGAGCGUCAUUUCAACCCUCAAGCUCUGCUUGGUGUUGGGGCCCUACAGCUGAUGUAGGCCCUCAAAGGUAGUGGCGGACCCUCCCGGAGCCUCCUUUGCGUAGUAACUUUACGUCUCGCACUGGGAUCCGGAGGGACUCUUGCCGUAAAACCCCCCAAUUUUCCAAAGGUUGACCUCGGAUCAGGUAGGAAUACCCGCUGAACUUAAGCAUAUCAAUAAGCGGAGGAAAAGAAACCAACAGGGAUUGCCUCAGUAACGGCGAGUGAAGCGGCAACAGCUCAAAUUUGAAAUCUGGCCCUAGGCCCGAGUUGUAAUUUGCAGAGGAUGCUUUUGGUGCGGUGCCUUCCAAGUUCCCUAGAACGGGACGCCAGAGAGGGUGAGAGCCCCGUACAGUUGGACACCAAGCCUUUGUAAAGCUCCUUCGACGAGUCGAGUAGUUUGGGAAUGCUGCUCAAAAUGGGAGGUAUAUUUCUUCUAAAGCUAAAUACCGGCCAGAGACCGAUAGCGCACAAGUAGAGUGAUCGAAAGAUGAAAAGCACUUUGAAAAGAGGGUUAAACAGCACGUGAAAUUGUUAAAAGGGAAGCGCUUGUGACCAGACUUGCGUCCGGUGAAUCACCCAGCUCUCGCGGCUGGGGCACUUCGCCGGCUCAGGCCAGCAUCAGCUCGCUGUCGGGGACAAAAGCUUCAGGAACGUAGCUCUCUUCGGGGAGUGUUAUAGCCUGUUGCAUAAUACCCUUCGGCGGGCUGAGGUACGC